CAACACAUCCACACAAGCUCCCAACUUGAGAGUGUCGAUGGGACACGUGUUCUUUGGUGGUGAUGGGGUUGGCACUGGUGUUGGUGGUGGUGGAGGAGGACAUGGUGUCUCAGUGGGUGGAGGAGGCUUAACUGGUACAACUGGGGUAGGUGUAGGUGUUGGUGGGCUUGGUGGUACAACAGGUGGUGAUGGUGGUGGCUUAACUGGUACAACUGGGGUAGGUGUUGGUGUUGGUGGGCUUGGUGGUACAACAGGUGGUGAUGGUGGUGGCUUAACUGGUACAACUGGGGGCUUGGGUACAUAGGGUGGUGGGGGUUGUACAACUGGGGGCUUGGGUACAUAUGGUGGUGGUGGUUGUACAACUGGGGGUUUGGGGAUGAAGGGUGGGUGCACAAUUGGGGGUUUAGGGAUAAAAGGUGGGUGCACGAUUGGGG
RNAcentral lists this long non-coding RNA (434 nucleotides) under Prunus persica (peach). RNAcentral describes it as "long non-coding RNA (PPER_LNC003776)". The record is from RNAcentral. Lineage: Eukaryota; Viridiplantae; Streptophyta; Magnoliopsida; Rosales; Rosaceae.